Molecule: ribosomal RNA, 454 nt
Filed under: uncultured bacterium
Lineage: Bacteria
Description: bacterial SSU rRNA
Rfam family: Bacterial small subunit ribosomal RNA
Source: RNAcentral
GACGAACGCUGGCGGUGUGCCUAAAACAUGCAAGUCGAACGAGAUCUUCGGAUCUAGUGGCGAACGGCGGAGUAAGACAUGAGCAACGUGCCCUGAAGUCUGGGAUAUACAGAGGAAACUCUGGGUAAUACCGGAUGUGUCGCGAGGAGGUCAUCCUUUUCGCGGUAAACGGAUUUAUUCGCUUCAGGAGCGGCUCAUGCCCCAUCAGGUAGUUGGUAGGGUAAUGGCCUACCAAGCCGACGACGGGUAGCGGGUCUGAGAGGAUGAUCCGCCCGAGUGGGACUGAGACACGGCCCACACACCUACGGGUGGCAGCAGUUGGGAAUCUUGCACAAUGGGGGAAACCCUGAUGCAGCGACACCGCGUGGAGGAUGACGGAUCUAGGUCUGUAAACUCCUUUUACCAAGAAAGACUUAGGACGGUACUUGGCGAAUAAGCUCCGGCUAACUACGUG